CUACGGGGGGCUGCAGUGGGGAAUAUUGGGCAAUGGGCGCAAGCCUGACCCAGCAACGCCGCGUGAGGGAGGAAGGUUUUCGGAUUGUAAACCUCUGUCCUUGGGGACGAAGAAGUGACGGUACCCAAGGAGGAAGCUCCGGCUAACUACGUGCCAGCAGCCGCGGUAAUACGUAGGGAGCAAGCGUUGUCCGGAAUUACUGGGCGUAAAGGGUGCGUAGGCGGCAUAUUAAGUCAGGUGUGAAAUACUCGGGCUCAACCCGGGGGCUGCAUUUGAAACUGAUAUGCUUGAGUGUGAGAGAGGAAAGUGGAAUUCCUAGUGUAGCGGUGGAAUGCGUAGAUAUUAGGAGGAACACCAGUGGCGAAGGCGACUUUCUGGCUCAUAACUGACGCUGAGGCACGAAAGCGUGGGGAGCAAACAGGAUUAGAUACCCCCGUAGUC
Molecule: ribosomal RNA, 441 nt
Filed under: uncultured bacterium
Lineage: Bacteria
Description: partial 16S ribosomal RNA
Rfam family: Bacterial small subunit ribosomal RNA
Source: RNAcentral